CCCCGUUCACCGGGGGGCCGCUUCGCGCGGCUGAGAUUGGGCGUCAGCCCUGACCCGUCGAACCUGAUCCGGGUCAUGCCGGCGAAGGGAGGGAACGCGGUCAGGGC
RNAcentral lists this non-coding RNA (107 nucleotides) under Caulobacter sp. Its description in RNAcentral is "TPP sequence". It matches the Rfam family "TPP riboswitch aptamer (THI element)". From Rfam's summary of the family: Vitamin B(1) in its active form thiamin pyrophosphate (TPP) is an essential coenzyme that is synthesised by coupling of pyrimidine and thiazole moieties in bacteria. The previously detected thiamin-regulatory element, thi box was extended, resulting in a new, highly conserved RNA secondary structure, the THI element, which is widely distributed in eubacteria and also occurs in some archaea. The record is from RNAcentral. Lineage: Bacteria; Pseudomonadati; Pseudomonadota; Alphaproteobacteria; Caulobacterales; Caulobacteraceae.